This 425-nucleotide ribosomal RNA is filed under the name uncultured bacterium. RNAcentral describes it as "partial 16S ribosomal RNA". It matches the Rfam family "Bacterial small subunit ribosomal RNA", at positions 354 to 796 of the family's 1533-position model. The record is from RNAcentral.
GUGGGGAAUAUUGGACAAUGGGCGAAAGCCUGAUCCAGCCAUGCCGCGUGAGUGAUGAAGGCCUUAGGGUUGUAAAGCUCUUUUGUCCGGGAAGAUAAUGACUGUACCGGAAGAAUAAGCCCCGGCUAACUUCGUGCCAGCAGCCGCGGUAAUACGAAGGGGGCUAGCGUUGCUCGGAAUCACUGGGCGUAAAGGGCGCGUAGGCGGACUUUUAAGUCGGAGGUGAAAGCCCAGGGCUCAACCCUGGAAUUGCCUUCGAUACUGGGAGUCUUGAGUUCGGAAGAGGUUGGUGGAACUGCGAGUGUAGAGGUGAAAUUCGUAGAUAUUCGCAAGAACACCGGUGGCGAAGGCGGCCAACUGGUCCGAAACUGACGCUGAGGCGCGAAAGCGUGGGGAGCAAACAGGAUUAGAUACCCUUGUAGUCC